CCCUCAUUAAAUCUCAAUAACCUUUACGUGGUAUGAGGGAUAACUAGCACUAAAGUUGUGAAACUAAUGAUUGA
This 74-nucleotide non-coding RNA is filed under the name unclassified sequences. The record is from RNAcentral.